Long non-coding RNA from Cottoperca gobio, 2450 nucleotides. The record is from Ensembl. NCBI's taxonomy places the organism in Eukaryota, Metazoa, Chordata, Actinopteri, Perciformes, Bovichtidae.
AUAAAAAUAAAAAUAAAAAUAAAAAUAAAAAUAAAAAUAAAAAUAAAAAUAAAAAUAAAAAUAAAAAUAAAAAUAAAAAUAAAAAUAAAAAUAAAAAUAAAAAUAAAAAUAAAAAUAAAUCACCUAUACAGAUUAUAGUAAAUCAAUUUACAGACAAAAAACAAAUAUUAAAUUGCCAUAUUUAAGAUAUAAUAUAUCUGCUUACAGCAAACUAUAGCAGACUGUGUCUAAUACUUCAGUCACUACUGAUUGGUUUGGGAAAAAUAACCCCCUUCAAGCAGAAAUCAGCUAACAUGAACAUGAUUUCAGACUGAGUAAUGAAGAAAAACAGCUCUAAUGGAUUUCAGCUGUUAAUGUGUACAUUUAAAUUAAGUGUCUGUUUUUGUUUUCUUGGUUCCCAACAGGGCUGAGUUCUGAGUGGAUGCUGGACUGCUCUGGGUUCUGGUCUCUUCGUAGUGCAUUUUCUAUUUUUAUUGGCUUGAGUUGAUGGAUCAGGCCCAUUGUAUAAAGUGCUCAUACACAUCCUACUUUCCCAAACGUGUACAAGAUGUGUAUAAAGUAUGUAUUUCAUUUCACCACAUUGUAAAAAUGUGAAAGUCUCACUUAAUUAAUUUGUAGGCCUAUAUUGCAAUGUCUUUGCUAGCACUGUAAUCCAUCAUCCCCUAAACUCAUCAGGAUUUAAUUUGUAUUUUGUUUGUGAUUUUGUAAUUCAUUUAAUUUCAACACAUUAUUGCUUAAUAACUUUUAUGAUGACUAUAUCUAUACCAGUUAACAUGUUCUUACCGUCUCUUGUAUGUUGGCUUUUAUGCAGUGUCAUGACUAUUGCUUUACAAAAGUCAGCAUUUACCAAUAUGUGUUUUUAUGUUUUAGUUUCCAAGCAGCACUUAAAAAGGUGUAAAGAGCAGUGCAGCUACAGGAUGCGAUCUAGCAGAAGGGCAAAGAGGGACCUCAAGGAUGACUCUACAGUUUGUACAGAUGUACCUUUUAGCCCCAUUUGACAUGUAUUUUUAUGUGUAACACUGUUUCUAAGUAAUUAUUUUGACACUGACUUAUUGUUUUGUACUUAAAAUAGUUCAGACAAUGGAUCUGCUGGCCAGUCCAUCCUUUUGUUUUGAAUCAACUGUUUGUUACUUUACUGUCUUUAUGCUAAGACACUAGAAAUCAAACAUCAGACAUUCUUUUAUAAUAGUGACAAUGAUGUUGUUGUUAUAAAAGAAUACCACCCCAUUUGUGAAAAGAUCACAGUGAUUUUUUUUUAGAUGUUUUUUCUAAGAAGUGUUCAUGUUUAAUAGUAUUGUAUUAUAUUGAAAUGAAUAGUUAUGAAGGUUUUUGUUUUAAUUAAUGUAGAAAAUGCUAAACUGUGGUCACUGUUUUGGAUUUAAAUGUUGCUCCAUGACUGCAGUCUAUCACUUUGCCAUAACUGUGUUAGGACAAUAUUAUACAUUCAGAUUGGAAAAAGUCUAAAUUAAAGGGUCGGAUCUAAAACAUUUUGAUUUGCACUAGCUGGUAGAUAAAAAACAAAACGAAAAAACAGUAUGGGGGUCAUAUGGCAUAACAAAAAUUAUGUGGAAAUCUGUGCAAACGAAUUGCUAAAUCGUUUGAUAAACCGAGUGCGCGGAUUAAUAUACCAAGCAAAUAGAUUCCUACACCUAUUAAUAAUCCGAGGAUUGAAAAACACAUUGGGGGGAAACAUGAUUUCAGAUGCAAAUAUUUUUCUUUGACCAUAUGAAACCUGGAAGGCUCUGUAAAAAAGAGAGGAUGCUUUUUAACUUUUUUUAAUCCUCAUUUUUCAAAACCGGAGGCAGAAAUCUAAGAGACAUAUCUCAAUAUCCAGACAAAUAAAACGAAAACCGUCGGUAUCACUAUAUGCCACUAGAGUUAAGGGAGAAAUUAACUUUCUUUUGUUUUGUGGUUUUUGCAGCACUUUGCAAGUAAUAUUGCAGCAGAGGUUUUUGAAUAUGCAUAGAGAAAAGCUAGUUUUUUCUCAUGUGCAACAGAGCAAAAAUACAGUUUGUUAUAUAGGGAAAUUAAUUUCUGUGUAAAUACUUUUUUUCUCAAGAAAGGCCUCAUGUUCUGAUUCAAAGCCUUACACAAGGACCUUCAAACAGGGUGGGGGGUUGAAGCCAGACCAUCCUGCUGCUUUGAAACUAUGACGAUACAUAUUGUGAAUGUAAAAGAAAGUCAAUGAGUCACGAAGAGAAAAAGUCAAGACGUUUUUGACCUCUGGAAUGAGGGUACUUUUAUUUCAAACGGUGAAAGGUGGAUUUAGAUGUAGAAUCUUGUCCCAAGUGAAAGUAAUGCUCAAAUAAAGGCUUUGUUUAGGUAUAUUAUUUUUGAUGUGUUUUGCCAGUGUACAGUUUCGAUUCAAGAUUGUGUCACGAAUACACCCUGGGAUGUUUCAUCAGAUUAAAUGUGUGAAAAUGUAAUAAACACAAAACCCUUUUGCAGAC